AUUCUGCCAUUUUUUUAAAAUUUUGUUUAGUCUAUCUCCAUAGUGAUAUUAAUGGAGGAUCCACAAGGAAACGUCUCUAAUUGUAUGAAAGAUGAGGAUACAGUUCCAAAGGGAACAGCUUAUUAGCUAAAAGGACUCAAGAUUAGCAACUUCUCCUGGAGAUUCUAUAUUUCAACAAUCCUGACGAGCAGAUUACCAGUUCCAUAAUUUAUAAUCCUGGAGGCUAUCAUUAAACCUUUAUUUUGGUGGCGUUUCCUAGUUAGAGAUCAAUAUUGUUUAUAGCAUCUUCAUGUACGGCAAAUGAUGGCCUGUCAGGAAGCAAAGUAUCUGGCGUACAUGUAAUCAAUUCAUUGUUCUGCCUCGGUACAUCUUUAAGUUUCAGCUUUGCCUCUCGCCUCUUGACUUACUUUCAAUUAGGAUUUACCAUGCCACAAAAACCCAUCAUAUGCAAGUUCAUGUUCAGGACUCUUAACUUCCUAAACAAAGGCCAAACAGAAAGAAGUAUUGCUGCUUAUCAGAGUUUACAACAGAGUGUUGAACUUUAAUGCAUGCCAAGUAUUGUGCCAAGAAGCCCAGGCAAAGAUGACACUGUGAUUUUCUACUUAUAUGUAUGGAAAAAGUGAAAUCCCGCAAAGAGAAAAUCCAAAAAUCUGAAAUCCGUUCUUUUAUUGUAACUCUGCAUCUAUAUGUGCUCCAGUCAUUUAUUUAUUGAUUGACAGGGCAUAAUACAGAGGGGAAGGAAACCGAAGCCUACUUAUUUAGCCACCAGUAACUAUAUGAUGAUGUUAAGCAUUAUCACUCUGAUCUUGACAGAAGAAACUGCCUUGUAACUCUGCGUUAGCUAAGCUACUUCCCUGUGAAUUUCCAAAGGCCAUCACCAGUGAUUGUUUAAUGAAAGGCAUUGCCAAGUUUCUUUGAUCAAAA
Ricinus communis (castor bean) is the source of this 924-nucleotide long non-coding RNA. RefSeq lists it as uncharacterized. The record is from RefSeq and is a predicted model, not a curated record. The transcript is spliced from 2 exons. Lineage: Eukaryota; Viridiplantae; Streptophyta; Magnoliopsida; Malpighiales; Euphorbiaceae.